Molecule: transfer RNA, 74 nt
Filed under: Acholeplasma brassicae
Lineage: Bacteria; Bacillati; Mycoplasmatota; Mollicutes; Acholeplasmatales; Acholeplasmataceae
Rfam family: tRNA
About the family: Transfer RNA (tRNA) molecules are approximately 80 nucleotides in length. Their secondary structure includes four short double-helical elements and three loops (D, anti-codon, and T loops).
Source: Rfam by way of RNAcentral
GCGUCGUUAGCUCAAUUGGAUAGAGCAUCUGACUUCGGAUCAGAGGGUUGAGGGUUCAAAUCCUUUACGACGCG